This 253-nucleotide ribosomal RNA is filed under the name uncultured bacterium. Its description in RNAcentral is "partial 16S ribosomal RNA". It matches the Rfam family "Bacterial small subunit ribosomal RNA", at positions 524 to 776 of the family's 1533-position model. The record is from RNAcentral.
UACAGAGGGGGCGAGCGUUGUUCGGAAUUACUGAGCGUAAAGGGCGCGUAGGCGGCCUGCUAAGUCGGACGUGAAAUCCCUCGGCUCAACCGGGGAACUGCGUCCGAUACUGGCGGGCUUGAAUCCGGGAGAGGAAUGCGGAAUUCCAGGUGUAGCGGUGAAAUGCGCAGAUAUCAGGAGGAACACCGAUUGCGAAGGCAGCUCGCUGGGACGUUACUGACGCUGAGGCGCGAAAGCGUGGGGAGCAAACAGG